RNAcentral lists this ribosomal RNA (681 nucleotides) under Vibrio harveyi. RNAcentral describes it as "bacterial SSU rRNA". It matches the Rfam family "Bacterial small subunit ribosomal RNA", at positions 33 to 689 of the family's 1533-position model. Lineage: Bacteria; Pseudomonadati; Pseudomonadota; Gammaproteobacteria; Vibrionales; Vibrionaceae. The record is from RNAcentral.
GCGAUAGCCGGCCAACCAAAAAACAUGCAAGUCGAGCGGAGACGAGUUAUCUGAACCUUCGGGGAACGAUAACGGCGUCGAGCGGCGGACGGGUGAGUAAUGCCUAGGAAAUUGCCCUGAUGUGGGGGAUAACCAUUGGAAACGAUGGCUAAUACCGCAUAAUGCCUACGGGCCAAAGAGGGGGACCUUCGGGCCUCUCGCGUCAGGAUAUGCCUAGGUGGGAUUAGCUAGUUGGUGAGGUAAGGGCUCACCAAGGCGACGAUCCCUAGCUGGUCUGAGAGGAUGAUCAGCCACACUGGAACUGAGACACGGUCCAGACUCCUACGGGAGGCAGCAGUGGGGAAUAUUGCACAAUGGGCGCAAGCCUGAUGCAGCCAUGCCGCGUGUGUGAAGAAGGCCUUCGGGUUGUAAAGCACUUUCAGUCGUGAGGAAGGUAGUGUAGUUAAUAGCUGCAUUAUUUGACGUUAGCGACAGAAGAAGCACCGGCUAACUCCGUGCCAGCAGCCGCGGUAAUACGGAGGGUGCGAGCGUUAAUCGGAAUUACUGGGCGUAAAGCGCAUGCAGGUGGUUUGUUAAGUCAUAUGUGAAAGCCCGGGGCUCAACCUCGGAAUUGCAUUUGAAACUGGCAGACUAGAGUACUGUAGAGGGGGGGUAGAAUUUCAAGGUGUAGCGGUGAAAUGC